UUUAAAUAAUUUAUUUAUGGAUGGCUGUGUCCAUACCAUACUACCACAAACUACGAUGUGAACAAGACAUGGUUUUGAAAAACCUCUAAUAUUAUUCCUUUCCGUUAAGACACACACUUUCAGAAAUAACAUACUAAUAUAAUAUUAUAAGAGACUAGGAAACAUAGUAUCAUAAAUUACCAUGACAUACUUUCUGCAAUAACAUAUUAUAAGUACUAAUUAUCAUGGAGACUAGUGACCAGCCGCUGGGCUGGGAACAGAUUGAUCCAGUCUCCUCUUGAUGGAUGCAAAUGGAUGAUCAACAAGGUUUUUGUCCAUAAUGAAAGCAUAAGCUCCUUCCCUAGGUGUUUUAGUUGCAUCAGGCUCCCCAGCAUGGUGAUAUAGGCACACAAUUUGGUGUGCGGUAUUAGUUUGCUUUUCAUGAAUGCCCGGUGCCUUCCUGCAAUCUGCGGAAGAAAAAGAAAAGACAACAGUAAGAAGAAAUAAAGCCAAAAAAGCUCUUGAACUAGCCAUGUUAGCAAUAUCAUUAGAUUAAUAAAGUGUGGUUUUAUACAUGAAGUUGGCCUUGAAUUCGAGCUAUUUAUAUAGAUAGACGGAAAGAGGGCCAGAGAGUUCUAUCUCUCUACUUGGAGCUGCCGCGUGAAAUACGUGUUAAUUUAAAGGUUAAGGCCGACUAGGUGAGCUUGAAGAGAUAUAUACGUACGGUUCUUAUUAUGUUUUACCAUGACAUGAGACAUCAGACCACCCAACCAUUAGAUAUAGAGAGCUGGAUGUGGCUACCGUGUGCUAAAGGAUGAGCCUGAAAUCGCAAAAUUUGUGAAACUUUGAAUAACAUAUUUGGGAAAAUUCAGUUUUUAAAAUUUUUAAAUGGCAUUGAGUUUUGAAAAUAAUAAUUGAGUAAGAUGAUUGUCAUGAGCUAAUCUGACAUAAGUUUACAGGGUAGAAGCAAUUGUUGUUAUUACAUAUUUUCAGUUGAUUUUGUGAGCUGUCAGGACAAAAGAUUGCAUGUUAUUUCAAAUGCUGAGAGUCGCUGUUAUUGAAAAAUUACUUAUAUUUUCGAGCACACAAUUUGAACACAUGCAAAAUUUGUGAAACUUUGAAUCACAUAUUUGGGGAAAUUGAGAUUUUAAAACUUUUAAAUGGCAUAUUUGAAUAUUUUUAAAUGAACUUAAAAUUAAUUUGAUCAAAUACGUACCAAAUAUUAUUUGAAUUUUGAAAAUUUGAACUGAUGAUUCAAUUAAUAUUAUUAAUAAAUUUUUGUUCCCCAACAUAAGCCUAUUGUUUUUAGUUUUGUUUCUAAAGGAUAAUUUUAAAUAUUUUGAGUUUUAAUAAGUAUAUCAGCUGUUUGAUCAAAUUUUUACUAUUAAAAAUUUCAAAAUACAACAUAAAAAAAAUAAAAUGGUUUUCAUCAAAUGUUACAAAAAAUUAUACUUAUGAUUCUCUUUGUAUUAAGAUUAUUAAAAAAAGGUAUGUCAUAUUUUAUAUUACAAAUGAAUUGUAAUUUAUGCAUAAUAUACCAUUUGACUAAAUUAUGAUUACAACCUUUGUUAUUUGUUAGGAGUCAUAUUCAUGCCCCAUAUAUCUUAAUUUCAUAAGUGUGGAGGUUAAAACUAUGAAAUCCAAACUACGUGAAAAGAUUAAUUUAUAUUUAUAAUAUUUUAAGUUUAAUAAAUCGAUUGUUACUAUUUCUAAACAUAUCAAUAAUAAUCGUUUGUAAUUUAAUACAUUAAUAUAUUAUUAUUUCAAUAUUUAGUUAAGUAAAAGUUAGAUACAUCAAAAUGAAAAUGUUGUGUAAUCAUUUGCUAUUAAAGCAAAAAUAUGGUAAAACAAUUGAUAUCACUUGGCUGGUUUUCUUCCCUAAUCAAUUGUCAAGCACAUCCGUUUACAAAUUACUCAUGAGAAAAUAUUAAUCAGGCCAUAUGAAUUUUUUAAUAUGUCUAAUACAUAAUCCACUAUAUUAAGUAUUGAAAAUAAUAAUUGAGUAAUAUGAAUUGUUGUUAUUACAUUAUUUUCAGUUGAGUCUGUGAGCUGUCGGUACAGGACAAAAGAUUGCAUGUUAUUUCAAAUGUUGAGAGGCGCUGUUAUUGAAAAAUUACUUAUAUUUUCGAGCACACAAUUUGAACAGGUAAAGAUAAAGAUGAAAAUACACAGUUUGAACACGUAAGGAUGAGAAAUAUAUAUUGACGGAUUAUCAAUUUAAAAAUAUUUCUAAAAUAUCACAAGAAGAAUAUUGUUUAUGUUUCUUCCUUUCGUUUAUAUUGUUCUUUCUUGAAUAAUCAUCUCCAGCUAAGCAACAUCUUUGAACACGUAUCUGUAGAAAUCACUCCCCGGCUGUCUUGGUUGAAUAAGCAUUGCCCAGCAUCAUUCAUCAGCACAGUUUUUGUUGAAUAAUUAUUCAGCACAGUUUUUAUUGAAUAAUUGUUAGGAGUUAAGGAUUAUCUAUCUUUUAGCAAUACACAGCAGGGACGAAGCCAGCAAACGUCUGUAAGGGGGGCCAAAAUUUUUUUUCUUCGAUACAGUAAAUUUUUUCAUCAGCACUGUAAAAUAUUCAUUAUAAAAUAAAUACAAAAAUACUAGUAAAAAAAUUAUAGCAGAGCUUUGCGUUCUUUUAAAUCAGGAAAUCAAAUUUAUAAUAGUGUCAACAAAAAUAUUUAACUAUUUCUCUUUAAAUAUAUUUAAGUAUAAAUGGUCAGGAAACUCACCAUAAUAACUCUAAGUUAUAGUAAUCUUUAAUUAGCAAGUAACACACAUUAUAUGAAAUUGUAUUUUGACAAUAUCUCAAAAACUAAAUAUCAUGUUUAUUAUACUUACUCCUUUUCAAAAAAAAUGUUUAUUAUACUUAAAAAAAAUAUUAUACUUAUUUAGAAGACGACAAGUUAUAAUUUAAAUAAGUAAAAAUAUUACCUGGAUGAUGAAUUUAAAUUGAAGAUGAAUAGAUCAAUAUUAAUAUUAAAUAAUAAAUUUAUAAUGCACGAGGACUAACUAUUCUAUGAAAAUGAAGAAGUGAAGUGAGGUAUAAGUUUUUUGGAUAAGACCUCCACCAAAGAUUCUUAUUUUUAAAGAAGAACCAUAUUGACAUUUAUAUUUAUCACAUAUCACAUUUUACGAUCUUUCCUUUUAAAUUAGUAUAAUUGUAUAUAUCUCCAUAUUUUUGUUUAUUUUUAUUUUUAAAUUUGGUCUAAUACAAUAAAUUAGAAAAAUCUAAGAAUUAAAACUUUAUUUUACAAUGUUAAAUAUUUUUUAGAAGCGAACAAAUAUUUUUUGAGGGGGGCCAAAUUUUUAUAUUUAUAUAAAUAUAUAGAUAAAAUACAAUUUUUUUCAAAAUUAUAUAAUAAAAAUUACAAUACUAUGGAAACCCUAGGGGGGGCCAUGGCCCCUUCUGGCCCAUAUGUAGCUUCGUCCCUGAUACACAGUCACCUAUUUUGAAUACGUACAAAUGAGAACAUAACAUUGUUAAAUUAUCUCUUUCUAAAAUAAGUUACACAAAGCAUAUUAGCUAUCAUGACAAUCUAGUGACCACAUUAUGGCAAACUACAGUAAGAGACUUUGUGGAAGAGCAUAUUAACUAUCAUGAGAAAAUAGUGUCGAGUCCCAGAGCUAGGAAUAGAUUGAUCACGUCUGCUCUUGAUAGAUGUGAAUUAAUGAUCGAUCAACAAGGUUUUUGACAAUAACCUAGGCAUAAAACUCUUUCUCUAGGUGUUGUAGUUAAUGCAGCAGGCUCCUCAGCAUGGUGAUAUACUCAGACACUUUCAUGCCCAGGAUUAGUUUGCUUUUCAUGAAUGCUCAGUGCCUUCCUGCAAUGUGUGGAAGAAAAAGAAAAUGCAAGAGCAAUAAGAACAAAUAAAGGUAAAAUUAGAGCGCUCUUGAACUAGCCAUAUUAGCAACAUAAGUGAUUAUAGAUUGAUAAAGUGCGUUUUUAAACAUGAAAUAGACAAUGAAUUUGAGCUAUCUAUAUAGACUAUAUAUACAGAGAUAGAGAGAAAGAAGCCAAAGGAAAUCCAAACCAUACUAGAAAGAAAAUCUAAUUUACAUACUAUAAAGACUGAAUUUAAUUUUGAACUUGAUCGUAUAUGAUACAUCAACAUAUUAUUAUUUUGAUGUUUAGUUAAUUGAAAAAUAAAAACAUUAAAAACAAUCUAAGGUCAUUCACUGCUAGGAAAAAUAGGAGAAUAUGAGUAUAUAUAUUCAUAUCACUUAACGGGUUUUGUUGACUAUCAUUUACGGCUCAUGAUAAGAUAUAUUUAUUUGAAUUGCCAAUAUGUCAAUGACACGUGAUAUUAAAUUUUAAAGUAAUAAAUGAAUGAUAUUAUUCUCAUGAAAUAAUGGUCUAUGAACUAUGAGUUUAAAUAUAUUUUCUCUAAAGUUAAACUUUUAGUCAAAGAUAAGAUAUUGAAUAUUCAUGAAUUAUAUUAGUUAAAUUAAUGAAUUAUUGGCUAGAGAAAAAUUAUAAAAUAUCAUCAAAAUAAUAUUUUUUUUUAUAUUUUUUCCCUUACGUUUCCUUGUUCUUUGUUAAACUUUUCUAAUUUUCUCUUUAGUUGAUUAUAUCAAUAUCAAUAUUAAAUAUAGUAAUAUAGUAACAGGAAACUUCAAUGGCAAACUACUGCAUGUGGCUAAAACCUGUAUGAAUAUUUCAAACUUUUUUGCUCGAUAUGAUACCAAAACUGGUAAUUUAUUUAUUUAUUCAUUAGCGUGCCCAUAUCAUACUACCAUAACUAUCAUGCAAGAUUCUGAAAAACCUCUAGUGUUAUUCAAUUCCUUCCUAUUACAACUCACACUUUGUGGAACAAGCAUAUAUGUUGACUAUCAUGAAAGACUAGUUACCAUGACCAGCACCAGGGCUUGGAACCGAUUGAUCAUGUCUCUUACUGAUGGAUUUUAAUUUCUGAUCAACUAGGUUUUGGUUCAUAAUGAAGGCGUGACCUCUUUUGCUAGGUGUUGUAGUUGCAGCAGGCUCCUCAGGAAGGGGAUGUACGUAGACACCUUCAUGAAUGGUCAGUACCUUCCUGCAAUGUGCGGAAGAAAAAGAAAAUGCAAGAAUAAGAAGUAAAGCCAAAAGAGCUCUUGAGCUAGCCUUAUUAGCAAUAUAUGGUAGAUUCAAGUGUGUUCUCAGCUGAUUGAAGGUGGCCUUGCAUUUGAGCUAUAUAUAUAAAGAAAGAGGUGAAGAAAGUCUAUAUAACUAUUCUUGUAGCCGCCCCGUGAUUAUCAUCUCAAUCUUCUUGGAGUUGAAAUAUGAGCCGUAACAUAUAUGUGUGGGAGAUUGAGCCACCAGGAUAGCUACACUUGCUAGUAUACAUGUCUGUGGGAGAGCGCCACGAGUAUAGCUACAUUACUAUAAAUCUAUAUAAUAUAUGAUUUUCAUAAAUUAUAAAUAUAAUUUUUUAUUAGUAAAUUGUAAAAAUAAAAUUAUACAAAUUUUUUAUUCUAAAAAUCAUUGAAAAUUAUACAAUAUUUUAAUAUGAUUCGGCAAUAGAAUAAUAAAUAUUUUUUUUGCCGGAAGAAUAAUAAAUAUUUGUAAUUAAACAGUUUCAAAACUGUGCAUGUUCUUCGAAUUGUAAAUGUUAAAUUAUAUAUUUUAUAUAGAUACAUAUAUAUACACUAUUUUAUAUUAGAAUCAUAUUUUAUAUUAACAAAAUUAAUGAUUUAUAGUUGUGCAAUAUAGAAUUGCAAAUACUAACGGUCAAGCCUAUAUAUAGUAGGACUAGUACGUCGUAAAUAUUAUGAAGAAAGAAAAAAAUGCUCUAAAGGAAAAAAAAGAAGUAAUUUUAUGAUAUAUGUUAUAAACUUCUUUUACUACACUAAUAAACACAAAUUUUUAUCGUGAAAUAUUAACUAAUUCAUCCAUGAAUAUAGGUUGUUUAAUGGUUCUCCAUGAAGUAUACUAUAUAUCUUACUAUAUGUGUAUUGGGAGUCUGUUAAGUUCUACAGACACAACUAUAUAUAUUUUUAUAGAAGAUUGUGAAGACCAUGUCGGUUAUGUGUUGAAAAUAUUAUAAAAUAUAUUAUAUUAUAAAAUAUAUGUUUGUAAGACUAUUAUUUCAUUAAAUAAAAUUUAUGCAAGUUUUGCGAGCAAAAUUUUGCAAAACAUUGUAAAAUGUAUUAUUCCGCAAAAUAUUUUGUGCAAGUUACAAAACAUGUUCUGAACAUGCAUGAUUAUAUAUGAUUUUUAACUUUUGUAUGUGUGUGUAUAUAUAUCACAUCAAAGUUUUUUGGACAAAAUAUAAUGCAUUUGAUUAAAAAACUGAACAAAACUCGAAACUCAUAAUACAACAUGGUCGAUAAGAAAAUAAAAGAACUAAUUAAAUAAAUAACAAGCUAUGUUUGCGGAUAUUUAAUUGAUUGCCCAACAAACGUGGCGUGCUUUGGAAGAAGCAAUAUGUUACAUAGCCAUCUUAUUGGAUUCUUGAAACGAAAAAAGAUUACAAUAAGCCUCCAAAAUACAACAUACACCAUCCUUUGAAUUUUAGUAUCAUUAUAAGUUAGAUUAUACAUUAUUUUAUUUUUAUGAUAAUCUUAUGUAAAAUAUGUAGAUUCGUUAUAAAUUAGUUAAUCUUAUUACUUAUUUUAAUGCGGAUACAUUUUAAUUAUUAAUUAUAAGAGAAUUAUAUUGGCUCACACGCCCUUGCAAAAAAAAAAAAUUGGCUAACAUGAGGCCAACAGAACUAUGUAUUGGGGAUGUGAUCCAUUCAACUCCGGCCCAAAACCUUCAUAUAUUUAUGGAGAUUUAACAGGUAUUUCCCGACUCGUGAGAGUGCUACAAAUGUGUACAAGUAUUUUAUAAACAAAGCCCGGCCCAUCACAAAUGUGUACAAAUAUUUUAUAAACAAAGCCCGGCCCAUCAAUUAUUUGUCGAUUAGUUUAGUUUAGCUCAAAAUAUAUUAUGUUUAUACACAUUAGCAUAUUUUUUAUUUCAAUAAUUUAAUAAAAUAAUCUAAUUCCCUAAAAAAAUUAAAGAUCCAAGAAACAUUCAGAGGAUGACUUUGAUCCUGGAAAAAUCUAGAAGCUACAUGUUAUUUGGUAUAUCUUUCAUUUUUUUAUAUCAUGUUGUCUUUAAUUUUUUUUAUUAGUUUAUUGUGGCCCACUAAAAUCUAUUGGUGGGUCCACUACUCUAUAUUAGCAUAAAAAAAAUUGAGAACAACCGUUUUCUCCCGAUAGAUAGCUGUAACCACCUCUAUUUAGCUUGAAUUAGUAUCUUAGAUUAUACCAUGAACAAAAAAAAUCUUGGAAACGGAAAUUUAUGAAAUCUAAUUAAAAGUAAUAUUAUUUCACAUUGAAUGCAUUGUAUUAUAAAAACAUAGAUGUUGGUACUAAAAUUUUAUCUCAUUCACAAAUUUUAACUCUAAUACACCCUCCUUCACCAGAUAUAUCAUGGAUGCCCAAAAGGUGCAACACUCUCCAUCCUCCAAUUCCCCUCCUCGUCGAAAUGAAAUCGAUGCACCUGCACUUACACAGAUCCCUGAAAAUAGUCCAGAACCAAAAACUGCAAAGACAUUUCCUUGUCGUUAUUGUGACAAAACAUUUAGUACGUUCAUGGCCCUAGGAGGACACCAGAAGGGGCAUAAAAGGGCUAGGGGUGCACAUGCGGGACGGGCUCAAACUUCUCUUUAUCGACCCUACCCAGCUACAAGUCGUCCCAACAGUGGAUCAGAUUCCAUGGCUAACAAGCAGUCUUAUUUGUCCAUGGAAUCAUCCAGUUCUUCCACCAAUACUUGGCGUCUCCUGCAAGAGUUUUAUGCCAAGAUUCCGGUGAAAUCUGCUCCUCCUUCACUCAAUUGUGUUCCUCCUGCAGCCACUGCAUUGUCUCUUGGAGUUUCUUCUACUCCAAAAACUAGCGAAGAAGUUAAAGAGGAAGAUGCAUCGGGAUUGGAUUUAGAUCUUAAACUCUAGAUUUGGAGUCGGGAGAUCUUAAGAUCUAUUAAUUACCUGUCUUAAUAAAUUUAUUGGAUGCUUUUAUUAUUAUCUACUGAAAAUUUUAAAAUAUUGUUUAUUAGAUGAAUUAUUAUUAUAUAAGAGGCCCGAGUUCUAUUGAGUACACCAAUGGAGUAUUAAAAUAUAAUCUAGUCUCUUUAAUUUUAAAAUAUUUUUAAACAUCCAAAGAUCUGUAAGUUAUGUUAUACAUCACUAACUACUCUAUCAAUUACAUACUCCAUCAUAUAUAUCUUUCCAAAGUGAAUCAAUUUUUUAUAAGUAUAUAUGUCCAGUAAAUAUUCUACUAAUUUGAUGGAUUUAGACUUCAAAAUUUAAUGACCUGCAUAAUCUCUCAUGAUUCUUGAUUCUGACUGAUCUUUGAUUGACAAACUAUGACAACCAACAUUCUCUAAUUUGUUAGAGUAUCUCCAACGGCGUUGGCUAAAUUGAACCGGUAAGAAACUAUGUAAAAUUUGCUGAACCUAUAAGACAUUGUACUUCAAUGGUAUUGGCUAUGGUGGUUGGCUAUAAUUUAAAAAUAGAAUGUUAUUAAUAUUUUAGUUUGGUAAAAUAUAAUAUAUGUAAUAAAUGAUGUGCAAUCAUCCUACAGAUUUCUUACAAACAUGUAGAGGUUCGACAAAUAUAGUCAUCCAUAGGAGAUUGGCUAAAAUUAUAGACAACAAGUUCACGAGGUUGGAGUAUGAUUUUUUCAACAGGUUGGCUAAAUUUUUUAUAUUUGGAAUGCCAACUCAUUUUUUAGCUAAGGGGUUUGUAUGGUUGGAGAUGCUUUUAUAUGCUAAUGAUUCUAACAACCCCCUAUUUUAUGAUUUAUAAAUAGGGAAUUGAUAAAUAAGCUCCAAAGUUUACUAUCAAAGCUCCAAUUCAAUAUUUUAAUUUAUCCAAAUCUCAUUAUCACCACUGAUAUGGAUGAAACAUGUGGAGAAAGCAUGAGUAAAUAUGGUAUAAAAUUUGGAUUUUGAGCCUAAAUAGUAAACCGUGGAGCUUAUUUAUCGAUUCCCUAUAAAUAAAACAUUACUUCUAAACAUUGGUAUCAAAAUUGAGUCCGGAUCCUCUGUCUCCUUUUUGUGUCCCCUUGUGUGUCCCUUAUUUUCUAUUGGUCACUUCCUUAAUUUGCACGUGAAUCAUAGUUUCUCUUUAUUUUUUCUCUGAUAGAUUUUCAUCGUUAAACUUUUUGAAAUUUAUAUAACCUGCAUUUUUAUUAUUAAAAUAUAAAAUAUGUGUAUAAAAAAUAUAAAUUAUGAUUUCAUCCCACAAAUAAUAACGAGGCCCCCUGCAUGCACAGUAAUCUUAUAAUUAAAAUUAGUCUUUUAUAUAAAAUCGGUCAAUUUGUUAUUUAAUAAUAAAUUAAUGUUUUUUAAUUAUUUCAAUGAUAUUAAAAAUAUAAAUGAUAUGUGGCAAAAAAAAUAAAAAAAUAUAAAUUAUGUAAUUCUAAUCAUUAAUAUUUUUUAAUUCUAAUUUUAGCUAAAAAUAUAGUGUGCAUGCAAGGGGGUCUUGUUAUUAUUUGUAGGAUGAAAUUAGUUUAUAUAUUUUAUGCACAUACUUGUUACUUUUCUAGUUUAAAAAAUGCAAAAUUUGGGUAUAUAUUAUUAUAUUAAAAUAAAUCUUAUAUUCAACAUGCUUUUUUAUAAAAAAAUAAAUAAAAUUAAACUAUAUAAAAUAUAUUUUAAUAAUAAAAAUGUAGGUUAUAUAAAUUUGAAAAAGUUUAACGGUGAAAAAACUAUCAGAGAAAAAAUAAAAAAAAAACUAUGAUUCACUCUGACCAACCAAUAGAAAAUAAGGGACAUACAAGGGGACACAAAAAGGAGAAAGAGGAUCCAGACUCAUCAAAAUUAUGGAACAAAAGCUAAUUAUACAAAUGACUAGACUAAGUAUAAGACCAAUUUACAUAUAUAUAUAUAUAUUUAUACUACCAGUAUCAAUGUCUAAGAGUCUGCUGGAAUCUUCUUAAAAUAGUUAAAACCUUUGAUGAAUUUAUUGAAAAGAUGAAAAGAUCUUCUCUGGCAUCAUCAAGUGAUCUUGCUGUUUUGAUUUUCUUCCGAUUCCUCAGUCGACUCAUCAAUAUCAUAGAUAGUUGAUCCCAAAAAAUAAAAAGAAGUUUUUUUAUUAAGUCUUGUUUCACUUGAUAUACUACUGCUAAGCCAACUUCACAAUUAUAUGAUACUGCCCUUUUUGGGAUGAAUCAUACUGGUUUAUUUUUGUUCUCCCAAAAAUCCUCCUUCACAAUUAUAUGAUACUGCCCUUUUUGGGAUGAAUCAUACUGGUUUAUUUUUGUUCUCCCAAAAAUCCUCCUUCACAAUUAUAUGAUACUGCCCUUUUUGGGAUGAAUCAUACUGGUUUAUUUUUGUUCUCCCAAAAAUCCUCAUAUGAAAUAUUUAUCAGGCUGUUUAUAUUCUAAUAAUUUGUCCCUCCCACAACAGAUGUAGGACAAAUCCUAACAUUCACUCUAAGUAUAUGACAUGUUGCAGUUCUUUCGAAUCUUUCAUCAACAAUUAUUGCUCAGUUAAUUAGUUUAAAGAUUUUGCAAUCCUGAAGAAAGCAUAGCAUCUUCACCAUACAUGUCGUUUUCUUAUAGAUUUCAAGAAUUAUCAUUUUUAGCCAAAAAUUAUUAUAAUAAACCAUUAUAGUCAUCUAAGAUGUUGGGAUACUUUUCAGCCAUAACCAUGUUUUUUUUCAAAUAAUCACACCAUCAAUAAUUUCUGAUUGCACCAGCUCUCUUCAGGGAAGUAUUCUUGCAUCCCCAGUUCAAAUUAUGCAUGCCUAAGUCAUCCAUAUAUUAUAUAUGUUUACAUGUGUAUAUUAUUAAUUUGUGGAUGGUGAUGUCUAAAAUGAUCCCAUACUUAUUAUAUACUUACUAUUUUAUAGUGGGUGUGAUACUACUUUAUAUUUCUGUUAAAUAAUGUUAAAUAAUGUUUAAUAACUAAACUCAUUAAUUAAUGAUUUACAAAUAAAUCACGUUAUUCAUGUGUAUGUUGAAAUAAUUUAUUUAUGGGUGGCUGUAUACAUACCCUGCUACCACAAACGACCAUGUGAACAAGACAUGGUUUUGAAAAACCUCGAAUAUUAUUCCUUUUUGUUAAGAGCUUUCAGAAAUAACAUACUAAUAUAAUAUUAUGGAAGAUUAGGAAACAUACUAUCAUAAAUUACCAUGACAUACUUUCUGCAAUAACAUAUUAUAAGUACUAACUAUCAUGGAGCUAGUGACCAGCGGCAGGGCUGGGAACAGACUGAUCGAGUCUCCUCUUGAUGGAUGCAAAUUGAUGAUCAACAAGGAUUUUGUCCAUAAUGAAAGCAUAAGCUCCUUCCCUAGGUGUUGUAGUUGCAUCAGGCUCCCCAACAUGGUGAUAUAGGCACACAAUUUGGUGUCCGGGAUUAGUUUGCUUUUCAUGAAUGCCCGGUGCCUUCCUGCAAUCUGUGGAAGAAAAAGAAAAGCCAACAGUAAGAAGAAAUAAAGCCAAAAAAGCUCUUGAAC
RNAcentral lists this long non-coding RNA (11395 nucleotides) under Daucus carota (carrot). RNAcentral's name for it is "long non-coding RNA (DCAR_LNC000748)". Lineage: Eukaryota; Viridiplantae; Streptophyta; Magnoliopsida; Apiales; Apiaceae. The record is from RNAcentral.